GAACGCUGGCGGCAUGCCUAACACAUGCAAGUCGAACGAGAUCUUCGGAUCUAGUGGCGCACGGGUGCGUAACGCGUGGGAAUCUGCCCUUGGGUACGGAAUAACUCAGAGAAAUUUGUGCUAAUACCGUAUAAUGUCUUCGGACCAAAGAUUUAUCGCCCAAGGAUGAGCCCGCGUAGGAUUAGCUAGUUGGUGAGGUAAAAGCUCACCAAGGCGACGAUCCUUAGCUGGUCUGAGAGGAUGAUCAGCCACACUGGGACUGAGACACGGCCCAGACUCCUACGGGAGGCAGCAGUGGGGAAUAUUGGACAAUGGGCGAAAGCCUGAUCCAGCAAUGCCGCGUGAGUGAUGAAGGCCUUAGGGUUGUAAAGCUCUUUUACCCGGGAUGAUAAUGACAGUACCGGGAGAAUAAGCUCCGGCUAACUUCGUGCCAGCAGCG
RNAcentral lists this ribosomal RNA (439 nucleotides) under Sphingopyxis sp. RNAcentral describes it as "bacterial SSU rRNA". It matches the Rfam family "Bacterial small subunit ribosomal RNA", at positions 31 to 516 of the family's 1533-position model. Lineage: Bacteria; Pseudomonadati; Pseudomonadota; Alphaproteobacteria; Sphingomonadales; Sphingopyxidaceae. The record is from RNAcentral.